AAAUAAGUGGGAGGAGAUGAAGAGACUACCCUAAGAAAAAAAUUAAAGGUUAAGAGUUGAAAAGAUCGGACCAAUGGGAUGCAAUCCAACAGACAAGAAUGUCAUAUAGAAACUCAUUUUCCUUUGGACUUUGAUAAGUAACAAGCAAUGAGCAAUAAGCAGUAGGCAAUAUCCAAGCAUCAUGUGAAGAUCAAGACAUCAAAUAAAUAUAGCCAUGUCAUCCAAGAAAGCAUUCCAAUAGCUAGCAGUAUUCAAU
Molecule: long non-coding RNA, 256 nt
Filed under: Lathyrus oleraceus (garden pea)
Lineage: Eukaryota; Viridiplantae; Streptophyta; Magnoliopsida; Fabales; Fabaceae
Description: Pisum sativum (pea) long non-coding RNA (PSAT_LNC002888)
Source: RNAcentral